Molecule: ribosomal RNA, 892 nt
Filed under: uncultured bacterium
Lineage: Bacteria
Description: bacterial SSU rRNA
Rfam family: Bacterial small subunit ribosomal RNA
Source: RNAcentral
GUGCCAGCAGCCGCGGUAAUACGUAGGUGGCAAGCGUUGUCCGGAUUUAUUGGGCGUAAAGCGAGCGCAGGCGGUUUCUUAAGUCUGAUGUGAAAGCCUUCGGCUCAACCGAAGAAGUGCAUCGGAAACUGGGAAACUUGAGUGCAGAAGAGGACAGUGGAACUCCAUGUGUAGCGGUGAAAUGCGUAGAUAUAUGGAAGAACACCAGUGGCGAAGGCGGCUGUCUGGUCUGUAACUGACGCUGAGGCUCGAAAGCAUGGGUAGCAAACAGGAUUAGAUACCCUGGUAGUCCAUGCCGUAAACGGUGAGUGCUAGGUGUUGGAGGGUUUCCGCCCUUCAGUGCCGCAGCUAACGCAUUAAGCACUCCGCCUGGGGAGUACGACCGCAAGGUUGAAACUCAAAGGAAUUGACGGGGGCCCGCACAAGCGGUGGAGCAUGUGGUUUAAUUCGAAGCAACGCGAAGAACCUUACCAGGUCUUGACAUCCUUUGACCACUCUAGAGAUAGAGCUUUCCCUUCGGGGACAAAGUGACAGGUGGUGCAUGGUUGUCGUCAGCUCGUGUCGUGAGAUGUUGGGUUAAGUCCCGCAACGAGCGCAACCCUUAUUACUAGUUGCCAGCAUUUAGUUGGGCACUCUAGUGAGACUGCCGGUGACAAACCGGAGGAAGGUGGGGACGACGUCAAAUCAUCAUGCCCCUUAUGACCUGGGCUACACACGUGCUACAAUGGAUGGUACAACGAGUUGCGAGACCGCGAGGUUUAGCUAAUCUCUUAAAACCAUUCUCAGUUCGGAUUGUAGGCUGCAACUCGCCUACAUGAAGCCGGAAUCGCUAGUAAUCGCGGAUCAGCAUGCCGCGGUGAAUACGUUCCCGGGCCUUGUACACACCGCCCGU